RNAcentral lists this long non-coding RNA (553 nucleotides) under Brassica napus (rape). RNAcentral describes it as "long non-coding RNA (BNAP_LNC016543)". The record is from RNAcentral. Lineage: Eukaryota; Viridiplantae; Streptophyta; Magnoliopsida; Brassicales; Brassicaceae.
AGUAUGCUUGUCUUUGGAAUGAUUAAUCAGUUUGGCAAUCAUUUGCUAAAAUUGAUUUUCUAACCAGAACUACUAUUCAUUUACUUAGUUAGGAAUUUAGGAUAAACUAAACAAUUUAUUGAUCAACAAAAAAAUUAAUUAACAAUUAUUUUUUUUAACUCAUAAAAAUAAAACUUGUAGAAAGUUAUAGGAACACCAAUAUCCUCAAGAUCGGAACCAUUUUUGAAAUGUUUCAAGUAGAGGUAAGUUCCCGCAUACCGCAUUGAACCCAAGUUUUUUUACUCAAAAACAUGAACGAAUGUAUCGAAGAGAUUCUGAUGCUUUGCAUAUUUUGUUUUAGAAAUGAUAAAUCAUUCUUUGAAAUGUUAAUGAUUAAAAAAAAAUGUUAAUGAAAAAAAAAACAAGGUAGGAGUGCUUAUCGCAUUUGUGGGCAAUAAGACAGGACAGUAUGAUAGACCAGUCUAUAAUCCGCGAAAACCCUAAGCAAGCGUCUUUAAUACUAGUAAUCCGCGCACGAACGGAGCGAAAUAAUUUAUUAAACUAUUUAUUUUAC